CUGGUUGAUCCUGCCAGUAGUGAUAUGCUUGUUUCAAAGAUUAAGCCAUGCAUGUCUAAGUAUAAGCGAACUUAUACAGUGAAACUGCGGAUGGCUCAUUAAAACAGUUUGAAUUUAUUUGAUGAAUGUAUGAGAAUACUACUUGGAUAACCGUAGUAAUUCUAGAGCUAAUACAUGCAACGACGCCCGACCGUUUCACUACGGAAGGGCUGUAUUUAUUGGAUACCAAAACCAUCCUUCCCUCGGGAAGUUUUGUUUGAUGAUUCACAAUAACUGAUCGGAUCGCCACUGUGGUGGCGACAGGUCACUCAACAUUCUGCCCUAUCAGCUUUCGAUGGUUGUGUAGUGGACAACCAUGGCCAUAACGGGUAACGGAGAAUCAGGGUUCGAUUCCGGAGAAGGAGCUUGAGAAUUGGCUACUACAUCUAAGGAAGGCAGCAGGCGCGCAAAUUACCCAAUCCCGAUUCGGGGAGGUAGUGACAAAAAAUAACAAUACCGGGCCUUUUUGGGCUUGGUAAUUGGAAUGAGGGAGAGUUAAACGGACCAUCGAGUAUCCAUUGGAGGGCAAGUCUGGUGCCAGCAGCUGCGGUAAUACCAGCUCCAAUAGCGUAUAUUAAAGUUGUUGCAGUUAAAAAGCUCGUAGUUGGACUUGUGUGCGCUGUCCGCGGGUGGCCUGCGCCCAAAAGGGCGUUUCGGUUCGGCCCCGGUGGCGCCUUGAAAUCUGCAGCUGGGGGGACGUUGGCCUUAACUGGUCGGCGACCGCACGCCGGCUGCUCGGUUACUGUGAGAAAACUAGAGUGUUCAAGGCAGGCAUUGGGUGCAAUUGAAUACAUUAGCAUGGAAUAAUAAAAUAUGGCUCCUGCCGUAUUUUGUUGGUUUUGACUGGUGGGAGUAAUGAUUGAUAGGGACGGUUGGGGGUGCUAGUAUUGAGCGGCCAGAGGUGAAAUUCAUGGAUUCGCUCAAGACUAACUUAUGCGAAAGCAUUCACCAAGGACGUCCUCUUUAAUCAAGAACGAAAGUUGGGGGAUCGAAGACGAUCAGAUACCGUCGUAGUCUCAACCAUAAACUAUGUCGACUUGGGAUCGGCGGUAGUUUUUUCAUUAAGACACUGUCGGGACCACGGGAGAAAUCAAAGUGUCUGGACUCUGGGGGAAGUAUGGUCGCAAGGCUGAAACUUGAAGGAAUUGACGGAAGGGCACCACCAGGAGUGGAGCCUGCGGCUUAAUUUGACCCAACACGGGGAAACUUACCAGGUCCAGAGAUGUAGAGGAUUGACAGAUUGAAGCUCUUUCUUGAUCACUUCGGUGGUGGUGCAUGGCCGUUCUUAGUUGGUGGAGUGAUUUGUCUGGUUAAUUCC
RNAcentral lists this ribosomal RNA (1357 nucleotides) under metagenome. RNAcentral describes it as "SSU rRNA". It matches the Rfam family "Eukaryotic small subunit ribosomal RNA", at positions 4 to 1326 of the family's 1831-position model. The record is from RNAcentral.